GGGAGGAGGGGCCGUCAGGGGGCCUCGAGGACCGGCCCGUGCCAGGGCGGCGCUUCUCCCCCCAGCGGGCGACUGCCCCGUGGCCCCCUGCCCAGGCCUCCCGCAUUCAGAGGCGCCGACGAGCCUCCCCACAAAGCGGCCACGACUCUCCGGCCUUCCCGUCCUGCUUCUCGCCAAGCCUUUGCCCGCGCUGGGCCCCGCGCCCCAUCACUCCCUCUGCCCCGGCCUCUGGAAAUCCACUUCUUCCUUCCUCCCGCCCCCCCCGACAAAGGCUCCCCAGUCCGUCUGCUCCUCGGCUGCCUCGCCAGGGCUUCUCCCCCUCGGGGGCCGGGACCUGAAGGAGGUCCCGAAGAUCGCUGCCACCCGGGGGACUUCACAGGGGGGGACCGAGACCCAGAGAAGACCACGUAUAGCAGGGACUGGCAGUCAGGCGCCGUGCCCAUUGCCCGGGUGCCCACUGCCAGUGAGACCCAGAAGGGGCCGAUACCCAGGGGGGGCGUCCCUUCAGAGCUGGAUCCCUGGAGUCUGAAUGACAUCACCCCUUCUUGAAGGUCUCCACCAGGGACUCGGCGUAGAAGGGGGUCUCCCCGAAGAGCAACUCGUACAUGCACACCCCCAGGGACCACCAGUCGCAC
Antechinus flavipes (yellow-footed antechinus) is the source of this 635-nucleotide long non-coding RNA. RefSeq lists it as uncharacterized. The record is from RefSeq and is a predicted model, not a curated record. The transcript is spliced from 3 exons. Lineage: Eukaryota; Metazoa; Chordata; Mammalia; Dasyuromorphia; Dasyuridae.